This 554-nucleotide long non-coding RNA is filed under the name Numida meleagris (helmeted guineafowl). RNAcentral's name for it is "lncRNA (ENSNMEG00000000618.1)". The record is from RNAcentral. Lineage: Eukaryota; Metazoa; Chordata; Aves; Galliformes; Numididae.
CUGGGGCCGGUUCCGGUUCCGGUGGUGCCGUCAACGAUGGGUCCGGUGGAACCAGUAGCACUGGUUCCGGUUCCGGUGGUACCAGUAGGGCUGGUCCCGGUGGUGCUCUCAACGAUGGGGCCAGUGGGUCCGGUAGGGUUGUCAACAACGGGACUGGUGCCGGUACCGGUGCCGGUGCUACCAAUAACAGGACCGGUGGUGCCGGUGGUACUGGUGGUACUGGUGGUACCGGUACCGGUGGCACCGUUGCUGAUGGGACUGGUGGUACCGGUGCUGGUGGUACCGUCAAUGAUGGCAGCAGCGGUGCUGGUCACGGCGGUACCGGUGACGCCGACGGUACCGGUAGCGAUGGUACCGGCAAUGGCGGGACCGGAUGUGCCGACGGUACCGGCGUCGGUAGCGGUGGUACCGGUGGAGAUGGACCUGCCGGUAUCGGUGGUACCGGGGGUGACGGUCCUCCUGGUACCUCCCGGUACCGGAUGUACCCUCACCGCCCGGUACCGGUGCUCCUGGUCCUGGUGAUACUGGUACCGGUGUCGGUUGUAGUGGUACCG